Molecule: long non-coding RNA, 6376 nt
Organism: Gasterosteus aculeatus aculeatus (three-spined stickleback)
Lineage: Eukaryota; Metazoa; Chordata; Actinopteri; Perciformes; Gasterosteidae
Source: Ensembl
GGGGAGGGGGGAGCAUAGACAGCUCCCGGACCCCUCCACACUACCCAGCAGGGCUGCACUGGAGGCCUUCCCACCCCUCCACAGCAGGCAGCUUCUGUUUGGAGGAGAUCCCCGGCUGUUCUCGGCUGCUGUCCCCUGGCAGUCCCCGGAAUGCGGCCAACUGUCUGUGAAAACCCCCCUUUGAUAAUGGAAAUCCCCCCCCCCCCCCCCCCCACCACCACCGCUGACAUGCACAGAUUACCGAGCUGAUGGAACGAUCCACAUGGGCAAAAGAUGCAGGCGUGUUUAUUUCGUGCUGGGUGCAGCUGUUUGGACCCAUCGAGCUCUCUGAUUAUUCAGAGGUUGAAAUGGUCUUGGUACAUAUAUGUGAGAUGUAUUUUUCUGAGGAGCCCCCCUCUUGAAGUACCUCAGGGGCCCAAUGCGAGAACAACAAGAAGAUAUUCAGUCAUUUUUUUUCCUUCUUUCUAGAUCUGAGCGACUGCCGAAGAGAGAGGAGGCAACUUAGGGUUAAAGGUCAGACUCUGUUCCCUUUUAACUAAAUAGCAGCUUAUACUGAAAUGUGUACUUGCUCCCAUUGGGAGUCAUUGGGAACCCAAAACAAAGCAAUGAUUCUUUUUACUUUGCUCCUAGAGAAUCGUUUGUGUUCCAUAAUCUCUUUGCUUUAAUUCAGUCUUAUUUUGUGAUAAAAGUUGCUGUUUAUAUAUGUUGAAACACUGGUUCCCCCCACGGAGAGUGUCAGGGGUCUAAAAUGACGGAUUUGCGGUUGCAUUAGAUCGAUUAUAUUAAAUAGCAUCAGGAUGUCUUCCCAGACGAUGUGCCACAGUCAUUAACUCCCGGUCCACUUGUACACAAAUGCUACAUUGUGUUGGGGAAAAGUGAUUUUUAUCCCGCGAGGGUCCGACCAAAGCUGCUUAGUUGCAUAUUUAGCUGGUUUGAUUAGAGCUCAUUUGACUGGAACAUCCUCCGCCUAAACCCAAAGUGUACAAAAGGAGGCUGACGCUGUGAAUAUAUGAAUGGAAAAUCAGCACGUCUGCUUUGACCCCUCGAGGACGCCGCCGCUCCUCGGUGGAACAAUUAUGGACGCGCCCACUGUUUAGAUGCAGCGUAAACCGCCGCCGCCGCGUCAUCGGGAGGAAUCUUUCGUCACCCGAUGAAUCUGAUGUUUCUCGCGCCGAAUAGUGAACAGCACGGAGGACAAGUCGGCGCUUUGUUGCUCGUAUCGGCGCCACAUGCCCACAUUAAUAUUGAUGUGGAAAUGUGUCACAUUUUCAGUGUUGGAACAAGUGGUCUUCUUCCUGCGCGGCGUUUUUUGGCCGAUUGGGUGUUUUAAUGAGCAAUCUGUAAGUGGCAGUAAAAAGUUUGGUAAUUUCUAACAAAAAACAUCAUCAACAUCAACAUAAUUUCCCACACAUUCCCCAAAUCAUCCUGUGCACAAUUAUGUAAGAUGCCUUAAGGACAACUAUCUUCUAUUCAAGAUAUGGGAGGAUAACCAGUAGAUGCAUACUAUGCUCUACAUGUAAGUCCAAUUAAAAGGCAACUACAUCAAACUGAACACUGACUUUAUUCAUGCACGUUUUGGCACACGGGUUUUCCUUCCACCUGGUUGGUUCAGCAUUAAGAGGACUUAAAUCUGUGAAACCCUUAAAGUCUGUAUUCAACCGCCCCUGCUGGUUCAGUCAGGGUUCGCCGGCUAUUUACCGAGGAAUCGCGAGCGAUUCCGGCCUCGUUAAAUCCCAUUUCGUUGCUGCCGCGCGCGGAGCUCGGCCUCCUCCGGCCGCGCAGAGGUGGAGGACGACCCGCAGAGCGGCCCAAUCUUUCAUCCUUAUUGCCAGUGACACAGAGAUGUGAGAGGGUGGAGCGCGCCCUCCUCUUCCGCCCGCCGCCCAAUUCCCUUUAAACAAUGCAAUUGGCCGAGGCAGAGGAGGUUAAACCGUCGAGUCCCAGGGCUCCCGUCUCUCUCUCUCUCUCUCUCUCCUGGAAUAAAUGCCGGUUUAAGGCUAACAAACAGGGAACAAGGAGUCUAUUAGCGUCUGACUUACUCCAUGACACAUGAAGAUGUUAACCCCCCCCCACAUCCCUCACCAUGUCUCUGCAGGCUCCAGGUUCUUGUUGCAAAGGGCACAUUUUCAUCACACGUGAAUCAUUUGUCUCCACAGUCAUUCUUUCAAAUAAUUAAAGUGCAAAUUGAAUUUUGAUUAAGAUUACUUUAUGUUGAAAGACAAACGUCGCCAAUCAAAGUUUUCGUCAUUUUAGCUUGAUUUUUUUUGGUGUGAUUACUUCUUCUUCUUCUGCUCUCCUGCUUUCACGCCCCAAAUCGCUCCCCGCGCGGAUGUUAUCAGGCGAAGUGAUGAUUUCCAUUUGAAUUUUUCAAAACACCGAAGAGUGUGUUUUCUCGCUGUGAUUCGGUAUUGAUUAAACCAGAGCUGCCGCAUGCAGGCAGAGCGCUGCUGGGGGGCCGUGACGGGCACCGUCAAGGUGAAUAGCGGACGGUGUCCAUCGCAGGGGGGGUGUGGGACAUAUUGCCUACGUAUCCGGGACAUGUUCAUCGCAGGUUUUUGCUUUUGUUCUCGCAGGUGGAGAUUCUGAUCUCUGUUUUGUGAUCAUCGGCCUAAUUCUGCCGAGUCGAGAGCGUCCCGCCCGUCAGGCGGCGUGGAAGGUAUCUGGCAGCACCUCAUGUCCUCUACGCUUAUUGCCUCCCCCCCCCCCCCCCACCCCCACUAAACCAGGUGCUUGCAGGGAGAAAAAGACAGUUUGGACCACCCAGUUAAAGGACUGAGGGACAGAGAUUUUUAUUUUUUCUAUUAUAGUUGCACGCCGCUUUUCGUCAAUUAGCCCAUUUGGCACCGGGUUAGCGUCCAGGAAACCCAGGCGGUCGGGGGAACUGCCACGGAAGCAGGUUUAAGCACUUUGCCGCCGCCGCCGCAGCGGGUUCCUUUUUAGACCAAAGCGGCGAUCGGGUUCAAAGAUGGAGGUUCGUCACGACCAGCGAGAGAUAGGAAGAGGUUGGAAGCGGCGGAUAAGCCGGGUGUCGGGACGUGGGCUCUGUGUUGCCGCAGGAUUCCAUUCGGUGGAGUGUGCGCGUUGGUUCCUCCUCGGCGGACCAGCGGUGCAGCACCGGGAAGUAAUCUCCCCGCUGCAGCAGCGGAUCCAUCGGGAUGCCACAUGAUGAAGGGUGACCGUCACAUGGCCCGAAGAAGAGAAUCAAUUUGAAAUAGCGAUCCCUAACUUAUCUCCAGUGGCACCGAGACGCCCGUAAUGCCGCCGGAAGGCUGUUUCAGGGGAGGAUUUGCUUAUAACACGUUUUGCCCUUCUUUUUUUUUCCUUAUGUGCAGUGAACGUGAGGCCUCCAACCUCCCUUCUCACUCCACCAAUGAAUCUACUCUUACACGCGUCUUCCCGUAUGUGGUUGAUUGCUGAGGGGGUUGCUUAAUUACCACAGCCUCCGCGGGCAAUGAUGGCGAUUACCGCUCUCCAAAUCCCCACUAAUCCCCCACGACGGGCGGCGCCGAGUCCUCCGUCCCGCCGCCGAACCGCGGCCCUCCCAAAACAACAGCAACAACAACAACAACAACAACAGAGCUGCUCCUUGGUGCCCCCCCCCCCCGUGUUCCGCCGCGUUGUCUCCCCACUGUGAGCGUCGCUUCUGGUCGUCAGUCCCACUGAAUCCCUCGCACGUUGGUUCCCCCCCUGCUGGUGUGCGCGAGUCGAGGGGACCCUCGUGUGAAAAAGGCCACUCGUCUCUGUCGCAAUUACCCGCGGCGAGGGAUGGACGAGACGUGACCUCUGGUGACGGGUGUGCAAAGAGAAGGAGACACAGGAUGAGGGACUCUCUCCGGAGAACAUCUGGACUGAUGGGUUAUGUUUGUAUUGUAAGUGUUAAACGGAUGAAUGAGCUCAAUCACGUGGCAAUUUUUGCUUCUUACUUCCUUACUGCUCACUGUCGGGUACCACUACCAGAACCAUGUGACUCUUGGCGUUUCCUGCCACCAAUGCAGCCGUGCAUCCAACGGCAGACACACAAAGUCAGGGAUUGGCUUGUGGAGGUGGAGGAACAGACAUCCCACAUUUAAGAGGCUAAGACGGAGCUGUAGGGGCGACCAGCCGGGAGACACCUGCGCGACAUCACCGCCGCCGCCGCCGCCGAGCGCCACCGAGGGUGUUUGUGUGUCCAUCUGUGUGCGGCGGCUCGCGCACAGUAUCCGCAGCGUGCGCGAGAGAGCGGGAGAAGCUGAAAGCGGCACCUGUGUGCAUUGAAAAGGCUUCUCUGAAUAGCUCCAUAUUCGAAGAGCCACUUAUCCAGCGAUAGAGCUGUAAGUGAUUCGCGGCAGAUUCCUGCCGGCAGUGGAGAGAGAGCGCGAGAUUAAAUGAGAGCAUCAGCUGUAAUUAGGGAUGCUUUCCUCCUUUUGGAAGUGCAUGUCUCUGUCUUAGAGGGAAUUAGCGCUGGAGACCCUGGGUGGGCCCAAGCAAUACAACUUUAACCAAUUGAAGUUGGAAUAUUUUACAACCCAAUUCCAAAGAAAAGGCAGGAAUAUAUCUCGCCGACAAUAGGUGCUCCACACGAAAAAUCCUCCUCACACAACACUUCCUAUUCUAGACAAUCGUGCCGGCCGUUCGUGUGCAGCAUGUUUGCAGGAGCCUGAUAGUCUGCAGGGUCGUCAAUGAUCUUUUAGCAUUUGCAACAACAGCUUCUUUUUUGGUGUACACUGUUAUUAUUCAAUUCUAAAUGUUAAUAUUUGAAGGCAUGAACAAGGUGCUCAGUGGUUUCUUUAGUUGUAUAGAAGAGUUUCAAACGCUUCCCUUCCUUUUUCUUAGUGUAGGUGACCAUUCAAAUGCUCCUGACAUUUAGGAAAUUGUCCUCUUUGUUCACCCAACUCCCUUUUAUUCCGCCGCCUUUUUUCCUCUAAAUGCGGUUUUGCCCCUUUUUCGUUUCCGCUCUCUCGCCCUGUUGAUCCGUCGUCCUUCUUCCACCUCCUUCGCUCCAUAAAGGUUCACCUCUGAAGAGCUGUAAAGGCUCCUCUGUUCCGUUUAAUGGCUCCCAGCGUAGAGACUCAGCAGGGGUUCCACUCUGGUUCAAAUACAAAUGCUCGUGCGACGUUCGUCGACUUGAUCCCCAAUGUUGAACUGUCAGUUCUUUGUUUUUUCUGUAAUCAUCACAUUCCCAUCAAACAUCUCUGUGGCCCUUUUUGAGGUUCUUCGUUUACAUGUGAGGUAAAGCCAAACCAGCAUGUAUGUCCUCCACAACACCAGAGAUACCAAAUAAAGUUUGGUGGAUUCUGGAUUCUGAGAUGUGCUGUACUCUUGAGGUUGCCCUUUUAUUGAGGAAAUAUUCUCUCCAGCCGAGGAUGUUUUUCUCUUUUCAUGCAGUUCUUAUCCACACAGACAGAUAAGAGGUGCACGUUUAGGGCUCGCCGUCGUCCACAUUGGGCAGAACAUGCGAGGGCUGCAGCAGGGCCGCACUUCUUCUCCUGCUCAUUGAGGUGGAAGCACAAGAACGUGGGCCACAAAUCUGGACCGACCACGUCAGACACACACACACACACACACACUGAGCCAGUGAACCGGCGCUCAUGAACAGAGGAGCGAGCUGCGUGGCGUCCGGGCCGCGUGUUAGUUGGUAAUCAUUAACACGGACUCCCUGUUUGCUUUGUGCCAGCUAGAUGUCUGUUAGCUUUAAAUGCACAUGUGAGUGUGUGUUUGCGGGACGGGGGGGGGGUGGGGGGCGGCAGACACAUGUGCACCGCGUAGAGUAACAUCUGCUCACGCGCCGCAUGUUACAGUGUCGCAGGCCUCCUGUUCUCCAGGCGAGCGGAGGAGGGAGAUUUAUUGCAGCGCCGGCCGACCUUUAACGCGCCUCACAAUUAAUCCUCAGACAAAACAAGCAAACUCUUGGAAGGUAAGUCCAAGGUUUUCCCGAGGAGGGGAUCGAUUGGAUGCGAGAUGACCCGUCAAGGACAUGAUUGUGUGCCUGGGAGGGGAGGGGGGGGCAGAAAGCAGAGAGGACAAACUUUCACAUGAAACACAUCCGGGUCUUUUUUGUGAGGCUUUUGCAACGGAAAAGGUUUAAAUAUCAUGUCAGACGUCUUCUCGACUAAAUCUUCCCGACUCAUUUAUUUCAGCUCCCUGGAAGAAGUCGCGUGCGUCUCCCGCGCCGAGACAUUUACAGAGUCGACACAAAAUAAGUCAACGUAUUACGUCCCAUCACUAUUUAUUAAAUCUGUUGUAAUGGGAGUUGGUUUGAGCUUAAUGGAUAAAGAUAAAGACCCUUCAAGCUCCGACCAACUACCUCAGCAUCUCACGCCAACAAAGCACCGCCUGCGUUGGACGCCCUUCACACGCUGCCGGCGGGGCGUGAGGGUCGUGAGCGGCGUCUUAACGC